AGAGUUGUAUCCUGGCUCAGGAUGAACGCUGGCGGCGUGCUUAACACAUGCAAGUCGAACGAACCUUCGGGUUAGUGGCGGACGGGUGAGUAACGCGUGAGAAUCUGCCCUCAGGAGGGGGAUAACGGUUGGAAACGACCGCUAAUACCCCAUAUGCCGCGAGGUGAAAUGAAUUUCGCCUGAGGAUGAGCUCGCGUCUGAUUAGUUAGUUGGUGGGGUAAAGGCCUACCAAGACAUCGAUCAGUAGCUGGUCUGAGAGGAUGAUCAGCCACACUGGGACUGAGACACGGCCCAGACUCCUACGGGAGGCAGCAGUGGGGAAUUUUCCGCAAUGGGCGAAAGCCUGACGGAGCAACGCCGCGUGAGGGAUGAAGGCCUCUGGGCUGUAAACCUCUUUUAUCAAGGAAGAAGAUCUGACGGUACUUGAUGAAUAAGCCACGGCUAAUUCCGUGCCAGCAGCCGCGGUAAUACGGGAGUGGCAAGCGUUAUCCGGAAUUAUUGGGCGUAAAGCGUCCGCAGGCGGUCUGUCAAGUCUGCUGUUAAAGCGUGGA
This 551-nucleotide ribosomal RNA is filed under the name uncultured Cyanobacterium sp. RNAcentral's name for it is "bacterial SSU rRNA". It matches the Rfam family "Bacterial small subunit ribosomal RNA", at positions 8 to 606 of the family's 1533-position model. Lineage: Bacteria; Bacillati; Cyanobacteriota; Cyanophyceae; Chroococcales; Geminocystaceae. The record is from RNAcentral.